GAUGAACGCUGGCGGUGUGCCUAAUACAUGCAAGUCGAGCGAACAGAUGAGGAGCUUGCUCCUCUGACGUUAGCGGCGGACGGGUGAGUAACACGUGGAUAACCUACCUAUAAGACUGGGAUAACUUCGGGAAACCGGAGCUAAUACCGGAUAAUAUAUUGAACCGCAUGGUUCAAUAGUGAAAGACGGUUUUGCUGUCACUUAUAGAUGGAUCCGCGCCGCAUUAGCUAGUUGGUAAGGUAACGGCUUACCAAGGCAACGAUGCGUAGCCGACCUGAGAGGGUGAUCGGCCACACUGGAACUGAGACACGGUCCAGACUCCUACGGGAGGCAGCAGUAGGGAAUCUUCCGCAAUGGGCGAAAGCUUGACGGAGCAACGCCGCGUGAGUGAUGAAGGUCUUCGGAUCGUAAAACUCUGUUAUUAGGGAAGAACAAAUGUGUAAGUAACUAUGCACGUCUUGACGGUACCUAAUCAGAAAGCCACGGCUAACUACGUG
Molecule: ribosomal RNA, 497 nt
Filed under: uncultured bacterium
Lineage: Bacteria
Description: partial 16S ribosomal RNA
Rfam family: Bacterial small subunit ribosomal RNA
Source: RNAcentral